This 441-nucleotide ribosomal RNA is filed under the name uncultured bacterium. RNAcentral's name for it is "partial 16S ribosomal RNA". It matches the Rfam family "Bacterial small subunit ribosomal RNA", at positions 338 to 795 of the family's 1533-position model. The record is from RNAcentral.
CCUACGGGAGGCUGCAGUGGGGGAUAUUGCACAAUGGGGGAAACCCUGAUGCAGCGACGCCGCGUGGGUGAAGAAGUAUUUCGGUAUGUAAAGCCCUAUCAGCAGGGAAGAAAGAAGACGGUACCUGACUAAGAAGCCCCGGCUAACUACGUGCCAGCAGCAGCGGUAAUACGUAGGGGGCGAGCGUUAUCCGGAUUCACUGGGUGUAAAGGGAGCGUAGACGGCCGUGCAAGCCAGGAGUGAAAGCCCGGGGCCCAACCCCGGGACUGCUCUUGGAACUGUGCGGCUGGAGUGCGGGAGGGGCAGGCGGAAUUCCUGGUGUAGCGGUGAAAUGCGUAGAUAUCAGGAGGAACACCGGCGGCGAAGGCGGCCUGCUGGACCGCGACUGACGUUGAGGCUCGAAAGCGUGGGGAGCGAACAGGAUUAGAUACCCGAGUAGUC